GGCAGUGUCACAGGAAGCAGCUGUGCUAUGGAGGAUCCAUGUCCCGUUUGAUCUCCAACCAGGAAGUGAUUUUCUCUACAUCCCGUGCCUGAGUAUGUCCCUCCUGUCACCACAGUGGGUGGGGUACCGAGGGCACAGAGGAAGCCAGGACACGGGCUGUUAGGAACACUCAGGUUGGUGAGGCUGAACUGCCAAGGGCAGAGGCAGAAGGCUGGUAGAAAUGGAAAUUCUUGGGGUCCACCCUGACCUACAGACUCCGAGUCUGGGAUGAAGCCCAGGAAACUGUGCUUCCGAGGUCCCCGAGGUGACUGAUGCUGAAGUUAGAGGCACAGGUGCAGAGCGUGCUGGAGGCCACGAAGCCACCCCUGAAGCCAGCAGAAGACGGAAUCCUACCCAGGUGCCUUAAAGAAGGGCGGAUGCUGGAGCCUGAGUCAGACAGACCGUCCCAGAAACUGGUGGAGGCCAGGCCAGCCAGACCCGGGCCCCAGGGCAGCUUGUGCCUUCGGAAGAUGGAGAAGAGUGCAGCGAUCCCCCAUUUUCUAAGGUGCAGCUGGAUCCAGGGCCUCCGGCAAUGUUGUCAAGCUUCCCACCCCCUCACGCGUGUGAUAGCUCUGCUGGCUGCUUCUUGGCUUCAUCUGGCACCCCCGACCUGUGGCUGCAGACAUCCCCGUGGAUGAAGGGCAGGGCCGUGUGUGUGCACACGGAUGUCUCCUGUAGAGAAUGUGUCGUUGGAAGACUGACCGUCCCUUUGGCUCCACUCAGUUGGACGCAUCAAGUUUUGGCCUCUCUCCGAGUCUCCAGACUUGUAUAAAAUAUAAAUCCCUUUUUGGAGGCCUUGUCGGGUGCAUGUGGAUGUGGAGAAAUGUCAGAUGCAGAUGGUGCUGUGGACCGUUGGACCAGUUUUCCAGAGCUGAGGGACCUUGUGGCCUUGGAUUAAGAUUUUUCAUCCAAGGUCCUGGCUUCACAGCAUCAGAGCUCAUCAUGGGCUGCAGGGAAUUUUAGUGGCCAUUCUGACCAGCUCCCCCGAUUUUCAGGUGAGGAAGCUGAGGAGGCCCAGAGAGGGGCGACAGCUUGCCAUGGUCACACAGCAGGUUGGCACCCCAGCCGGAUGAGAGCCCCGGCCUCGGAGCCCCAGCCUGGGCUGGCCAGGUCUCAGCUCCUGCCGACUCUUGAGUCACGGGAUUUGGGUUCUGCGAGUCUGCAGUACAGACAGGACAGGCUGCGUCCUCCGGGAAGGGGCCUCGUGGUCGCUGAGAAGACGAGCAUGUAAGGAAAGCUGGUGGGUGACGAGCCAGCGCCCUGUCUGUCUCCUGCAGGAAAGCAGUGAGGAGUCACUCCGCCAAGGUCUCUUAAAGGAGAAGGCUGUGUUAUUUCCCGAGCUGCUUCCUGCGUGGUGCAACCGAGCUGAGAGCCGGAGCCGACUUUGGAAGGCUCAUCCUCCAACCCACUCUCCCGUCGGUGGAAAGGUUUAUAGGAAACAAAGGCUCAGAGAGGCAAAGUGAUUACCCAAGGUCACACAGCUGGAACGCAAUGAAGCCAGGACAUGAACCUGCUCCUAGGGCCCUCCUGUUUUCCAUCCCACGGCCAGUCGUCUCAACCAAGAAGGUCUCAGAGUCAGUCUACACAGAGAGAACACGCCUCCGUCACAUCCACUCCUCUCCCAUGUCCGUCCACGGUAGAGUUUGAGGCUGCUUUUUAUCACAAUCAUCAACCUUUAAUGUUUUGCUUUUUGAAAAUAUCUGUAGCCGCGGCUCAGGGUCAGUGGCCGAGAGAGAGUGUGUGUGGGUGUCCGAACAUCAAUGUCCAGCUUUCCCCCGGGAGGGAGGUAAACAGGCUUCCGGGACUCAAGCGGAACAUUUUUUAGCGUCUUGCGCCUUUGGCCUGGGCACGUCAGAUUUGGGGUCCCACCGUCUCGGAUCCCACGCUUCUGGUGUGCUUGGGAACGGAAGGUGUUUGGGGACAAGCCGGGUAGGAGGCCCGGCUGCCGAAACAAAGAGAGAGAAGGCAAGUUCAGGGGCGCGAGCUAGGGCGGGGGGCGCCCACUGCUUCUUUCUGCAGCCUCCCGAGUCAGCGGGUGGCUCGCACACACACGGUGCCGGGGUUUAAGCCCUGUUUCUAACCACGUGCAUGUAGUUAAUCUCUCCGAGCCUCAGUGUUUAUGAAACAGGAAUAAUAAAAAUGCCCACCCAUACAGUUGCGUGAUUAAAUGGCGUGAUGCGCGAGGACAGCUAUGCCUGUGCCCGGCUCACGGUAAGGACUCGGCGAAUGUGCAAUGUGAAGGUAUGGAUAUUGUAAGUCAGCAAACAGAUGUUGCAUUCUGAGUCUAUGGUAGGAGUCAUUUCCAUGUAUCUCACUUAAAAAAAAUCACAAUAACCCUGGUGGGGGGGGGGUGUUGUUAUUAUCUUUACUUUGUAGAUAAGGAAGCCUAGACUUAGGAAGAAGAGUGGCAGAGCCAAGUGAAUCCCCCGGAGUUUGCCAAAUCCGCCAGUGGGGUCUCCCUGCCACACUCACCUGAGCCCAGGUUCAGGGCCUGCUGAGACCCACAGCACAACGAAGCCAGGUCUGACUGGAGGGUGGACCUCCGGGAGCUCAGCUGGGUAGUGCGAGGCCUCGUGUCAGCCAAUGGCAGCAGGUUUUACUGAUGCUUCUGGAGGGCCCACCCUCUGGAAAUGCAAGCCCGUUGGUUCCCAGGACUGGAAGCCUCAAGCACGUGUGGCCCUAGACCUCAAAGAGGGUUUGGCUGCUGUGGCUUCUCUGGCAACAAAAGCUGUUGAUUUGUUUUUUGAGCCGAGUGGCUAGUUGAGGGCACCAGCCACAACCUGCUAUUAGGAGCUCCUCACUGCGGUCUGCGUGGAGCGCUCAGGGAAGAGCCCCCGUGUGUCCUGGGAUCCCACGGUCUCUUGUUUCUUCCCUCUUGGUUGGCAUGUGGCUGGGGCAGGGGACACCCUGGGGAUUUCGGCGUGAGUCUCUCUCCCUCACAGGACUGUGCAGAGCUCUCCUGAAGCUGUGGGACCAACCACAUCUGAGGAGUCCUCACUCCCAGACCCCUGCCCUUUUAGGUCCUCGGUGUUUCCAAACACUUCUUCAGGACCCGUUCCUGGAGAACUUUCUGUAGAUAUGGAUGCAAAUACAGAAGGGUGGGCCCCAAAGCACUUCUGGUGAUUGAAUGUGCUGCCUCUGUGCAUUGCUUUGUCUCUCUCUGUCCACCCCUCACCAGAACGGAUGCUUCCCAGCUUGGGAUCUUGCCUCUCUUGUCCUCUGAUAUAUCCUCAGUGCCUAGAACACGGUGCUCUACAACAGCACAGAGCAGGGGAGCCACUAUUGAUCCAUGGGUGUGCCCUGGCAACUGGUACAGGGUCUUGUGCUCAGUGUCUGCUUCAUCAGGAGCUGGACCCAAUCACCCACUAAAUGGUCAUUUGUUAAUUAACUAAGGGAUGAAUACUGGAAGUAGACUGGUGAGGAAAAAACAAGAUUCGGUUCCAGCCUUCCUGGACUUGCUAGGGGAGUUGGACCAGUGGAGCUCAAUCCAGUUCAGCUUGACUCAACUCAACUGAGCUCAUCACAACUAAGUUCAGCUCAAUGCAGGUCAACUCAUCUUGACUUAGCUCAGUGCACAUCAGCUCCGCUCAACGCAGUGCUCAGAGUGGAUCAUCUCUGCUCAAUGGACCCACCUUGACUCGACUCAGUGCAGCUCAACUCAACACAACUCAGCUGUACUAGGCUUGCUUGGUUCAACUCCACUUAACUCAACUCAGCUCAACUGGGAACGGCUACAUUCAGUCAAUUAGGGAGGCAUUAACCGAGUAUCAAGGUUAGAGGCUCAUGUGGUUGAUUCCUCCAGGAACACAUACUUUAGUCAUUAAAAUAAGGAGUUUGGAUAUGAAGAAUGUAGAUAGUAAUAUACAAGCAAAGACUUUAAAGCUCAAUGGAAGGAACAGCUACUUCUCACUGGUGAAGGCUUCUUGAAAGUCAUAUUAUUUCAGGUACAAUUUAAUUUUGACUAAUGUUGGAGGGCUGGGGCAGGAAGUCAGUCCAGAAAGCGAGAACAGCCUGAGAAAUGCCUGGACAGGGUGGAAUAAAUGGCUUGACUUGGGAGUGGAUACAGAGGUGUAGAAGGUAAUAGGCGACAAGGCUAAAAGACAGUGAGGAGGGAGUUCAAGACAGUUCUGAAUGGCAUGCUUUUGGACUUUUUCUGUAAGAACAGAAAUCUGCUGCAUGAUUUCACUUCAUUCUUGCAAAAGCCCUAGGAAACAUUUAAGGUAGGGAUGGUGAUUUCCAUUUUACAGAUGAAGAAAUGGAGGCUUAGAGAAGUUAAUGCCUGCUCAGGUAGAGGUUGGUUGAGUUGGAAAUUAAAUCACAUCAAGAGAACUGUCUUCUUUGUUUUCAUUUCCUCAGCCCCACAGCUGGCACUCAGGAGCUGGAGUGUGGUAUGAUUCAAGCUAUAUUUUCACACCAUAAAUGUUGGGAGAACAGAGGAUGGGUGGGAAGGGAUGAGGCAGGAAGACUAGGUAGGAGAGAAGAGUAUCUGGGAAUCCAGGGCCCCAGGGAUGAUGGAGAGAGGAAGUGUUGGCUAAAUACUCAUCUAUAAGUUCCCACCAAAUGUCAUGCAGAAUCUACAGGGCAUUUAACAGCCUUGGAAGAUUAUGGUCUCGUCUUUCUAAGUCUCUUACAUUCUAAAACCUCAAGUUCUUCAUCUGCAAUUAUGGAAUUUAUAGUACUAUUCCCCCUAAGGAUUGUGAAAAUUCAAUUGGUAUACAAGUGCUUAAAAAGUCAAGUAUUUUUGAACUUAAGAAAAAUAUGGAGAGUAAUAUAACUAAUACUCAUGCACCCACUACCUAGAAUAAAUAAAUAUUAAUGUUUUGUUAAGUUGGCUUUGGCUUUUUUGUUUCUUUUGGAAGCAAAGUCCUUGACAGUUGUGUUGACAUUCCACUAUACCCCUCUCCAAAUCUGUCCUUCUCACUCCCUGCCUGAGACACCAUUUCUGGAAUGGGAUGUGUCCUUUCCUGUAUUUUUACUACACAUAAACAUAUCCCUAAAUAAUAAAUGGUAUUGUUUGUGUGUUUUAAACCUGUAUAUAAACGGCAUCACACUGUCGCAUUCUGCAACUUGAAUAUUCUAGUAGAUGAGUUUAAUCCAUUUACAUUUAUUGCGAUUCCUAAUGGACUUAUUAUUUUCUUUUAUUUUUUACCUGCUUGUGUGUUCUUUAUUACUCACUUUUAUCCUUUCAUUCACCUUCUAUUGCAGGGAGUGCCAAACUGUGGCCUGCAGGCCAAAUUUGGCCCGCCACCUAUUUUUGUAAAUAAAGCUUUAUUGGACACAGCCAUGCUCAUUUAUUUACUUAGUGUCUAUGGCUGCUUGUGCAUUGCAAUGGCAGCGUUGAAUAGUUUUGACAGAAAUUGUGCGGCUGCCAAAGCUGAAACUGUUUACUCUCUGUCCCCUUACAGAAAACGUUUGCCAAUUCCUAUCUGUGGGGUUGAUUUUAUUUUUUUGUAACUCCCGGUUUGGAAAUAAUACAUUCUACAUUUAUUUUUUUUAGGAGUUGCCCUCAAAAUUUU
This is a long non-coding RNA of Equus caballus (horse), 5555 nucleotides long. Lineage: Eukaryota; Metazoa; Chordata; Mammalia; Perissodactyla; Equidae. The record is from Ensembl.